RNAcentral lists this ribosomal RNA (1365 nucleotides) under Epamoebus sp. 1 NLG-2014. Its description in RNAcentral is "partial 16S ribosomal RNA". The stretch from base 1 to 382 matches the Rfam family "Microsporidia small subunit ribosomal RNA", at positions 777 to 1311 of the family's 1311-position model. The record is from RNAcentral. Lineage: Eukaryota; Metazoa; Arthropoda; Insecta; Coleoptera; Curculionidae.
AUUAAGAAUUUUGGCGGUAUUUUAGUCUAUCCAGAGGAACCUGUCCUGUAAUCGAUAAUCCACGAUUUUAAUUACUUAUAUUAUUAAUUUACAUAUCGCUGUAGAUUGAAUAUUUUUGUAGAAUUUAAUAUUCAAGAUUUUAAAUGAAAAAAAAUCAGGUCAAGGUGUAGUUUAUAUAUAAGAAGAGAUGGGUUACAAUAAGUUUACUUAAACGGUUAAAUUUUUGUAAUAAAAUUUAUAAGUUGGAUUUGAUAGUAAUUUUAUAUAAAUUUUUAAAAUGAUUUUAGCUCUAAAAUAUGUACAUAUCGCCCGUCGCUUUCAUUCUUAAAAUGAAAUAAGUCGUAACAUAGUAGAUGUACUGGAAAGUGUUUCUGGAAAAUCAAAUUAAAGCUUUAAAAAGCAUUUUAGUUACAUUAAAAAGAUUACUAUAAUUAGUAUAAUUUGAAAAAAAAAAAUUAUUUAAGUUGUUAAUUAAAUAUUUUUUAAAAAAAGAAAUUUAAUGUUUUAUUAAUAAGUAUGAAUAAAUAAAGUUAAUUAUAGUAAAUUAGUAUUGUGAAAGAUAUUUUUUUAUUAAUUUAAAGAAAAAUUAAAUUUUUGUACCUUGUGUAUCAGGGUUUAUUAAAUAAAGUUUAUUAAGUUUUAAAUUUCUCGAAUUUAAAAGAGUUAUUUUUAUAUAAUUUUUAUUGUGGAAUAAAUAUUAUUAAUAUAGAAAUUGAAGUGAAAUGCUAUUCGAUUUUAAAUAUAUCUAGUUUCUUUAGAAAAAAAUUUAAUUUUAUUUUUUUAAGAUUAUUAAAUUUAAUAUAAAAUUUAAUGAUUAAAAUAAAUAAUAUUUUAAGGGAUGAGCUUUAAAAUAUAAUAAAUAUAAUUUAAGUAAUAAAUUUUAAUAAGUAGAAUUAUAAGUUUUAGUCUUUAAUAGUGUGUUAUAACUAAUUGAUAGUAAGUUAAAAUUUUUAUUUAAAUUUAUUUAUUUUAUAAAGAUAUAUUUUAAAAUAGUUAAAAUUUAGAAAUAAUGAUAAAAUUAGUAUAAAUUUUAUAUUAAAAAUUUUUAUUAAAUUUAGGUUAAAUAAAGGAAUUCGGCAAAUAAUUUUUCACCUGUUUAUUAAAAACAUGGCCUUUUGAUUAUGAUUUAAGGUCUAGCCUGCCCAAUGAUUAAUUAAAUGGCCGCGGUAUCUUGACCGUGCAAAGGUAGCAUAAUCAUUAGUUUUUUAAUUGAAAGCUUGUAUGAAAGGUUGGAUGAAAAAAUAGCUGUCUCUAUUUAAUUUUAUUUGAAUUUUAUUUUUAAGUUAAAAAGCUUAAAUAUUUAUAGAAGACGAGAAGACCCUAUAGAGUUUAAUAUUUUAUAUUUAUUGAAUUUUUAGUAUUGAA